AUGAAGAAGAUCAAGGCGGCGCGCGGGGGAGCGGCGGCCACGGCGCCGACCGACCUGCUCGUCUGCUUCCCCGGGCGGCAGCACCUGGCGCUGAUGCCCAAGUCCAUGUGCAGCCCGUCCAGGGCCGCCCUGGACAAGGCGGUAGCCGCGCGCCGGAGGCAGCUGCAGUUCCCGGCCGCGCCCGCCGCGCGGUACGGGGGAGGAGGGCGUGGCAGUACUAGUAGCCCGCUGUUCCGCGGCUCUAAGGCGAAGCAGAGUGUCGGGGACGACGAGCCGCAGUCGCCCAAGGUGACGUGCGCCGGGCAGAUCAAGGUCGGCCGGCCAAAGAAGCCGAGACCGGUGGUGGAGAAGCACGGUCCUAAGGGCGACGGCGGCAGUGGCAGCAGGUGGGUCACCGUGGCGGAGGAGAUCGAGCGGCUGCAGGAGCGGAGGAAGAAGGCGAGCUGGCUAGAGACCGUCGGGAUCAGGAGGGACGCGCUGCCCUUCCUCGGCGGCGCGCUCUGGAGCCUUCGGCACAAGGUGAGGUGCUUCGGGUCGUCGCUCCCCGCCGCGGUGGACUCCUCGACGGACGACGACGAUGACGUGGGGGAGCGUGGGCGCGAAUCCACCGCCGUCGGAGGCAGCGCCGCCGCGAGCGUGUUCUCCAAGUGGCUCAUGGUGCUGGAACGGAGCCAUGAACCCCACGAGCAAGACGACAACGACGACAAGCCAGACCAAGAAGACGGGCGGCCGAGCAAUGAGGCGGGAGACGACUGCUCCAAAGCGCCGUCAGUGCCGCCGCCGAACGCUCUGCUCCUAAUGCGGUGCCGGUCGGCGCCGGCGAAGGGCCUGACGAGGAAAGGAGCAGAACCGGCCGGCGAGGAGGCCGCGCAGGAGAAGGGGGGCGUGGAGGAGAAGAGGGACGAGCUGGUGUUCAUGAGAACGGCGCCGGACUUCCUGAAGCUGUCCAUCGACAUCGCCAAGGAGACGUGGGUCGUCGGCGGCGUGGACCCCCUCGCGCGCAGCCGGAGCUGGAAGAGGUGA
Molecule: ribosomal RNA, 1023 nt
Filed under: Triticum aestivum (bread wheat)
Lineage: Eukaryota; Viridiplantae; Streptophyta; Magnoliopsida; Poales; Poaceae
Description: partial small subunit ribosomal RNA
Source: RNAcentral